This 434-nucleotide ribosomal RNA is filed under the name uncultured bacterium. Its description in RNAcentral is "bacterial SSU rRNA". It matches the Rfam family "Bacterial small subunit ribosomal RNA", at positions 351 to 782 of the family's 1533-position model. The record is from RNAcentral.
GCAGUAAGGAAUAUUGGUCAAUGGAGGCAACUCUGAACCAGCCAUGCCGCGUGCAGGAAGACAGCCCUCUGGGUCGUAAACUGCUUUUAUUCGGGAAUAAACCUCAAUACGUGUAUUGAGCUGAAUGUACCGAAGGAAUAAGGAUCGGCUAACUCCGUGCCAGCAGCCGCGGUAAUACGGAGGAUCCAAGCGUUAUCCGGAUUUAUUGGGUUUAAAGGGUGCGUAGGCGGCUUUUUAAGUCAGGGGUGAAAGACGGUAGCUCAACUAUCGCAGUGCCCUUGAUACUGAAGAGCUUGAAUGGACUAGAGGUAGGCGGAAUGUGACAAGUAGCGGUGAAAUGCAUAGAUAUGUCACAGAACACCGAUUGCGAAGGCAGCUUACUAUGGUUUUAUUGACGCUGAGGCACGAAAGCGUGGGGAUCAAACAGGAUUAGA